GACGUGGGGCGCAAGCGUUGUCCGGAUUUAUUGGGCGUAAAGAGCUCGUAGGCGGUCUGUUGCGUCGGCUGUGAAAACCCGGGGCUCAACUCCGGGCCUGCAGCCGAUACGGGCAGACUAGAGUUCGGCAGGGGAGACUGGAAUUCCUGGUGUAGCGGUGAAAUGCGCAGAUAUCAGGAGGAACACCGGUGGCGAAGGCGGGUCUCUGGGCCGUAACUGACGCUGAGGAGCGAAAGCGUGGGGAGCGAACAGG
Molecule: ribosomal RNA, 253 nt
Filed under: uncultured bacterium
Lineage: Bacteria
Description: partial 16S ribosomal RNA
Rfam family: Bacterial small subunit ribosomal RNA
Source: RNAcentral